Molecule: long non-coding RNA, 808 nt
Organism: Mustela erminea (ermine)
Lineage: Eukaryota; Metazoa; Chordata; Mammalia; Carnivora; Mustelidae
Exons: 2
Source: RefSeq, a predicted model, not a curated record
GGCGGCGGCGGCGGCGGCGGCGGGGUCGGGCCGCGCUCGGGGCCGCGCUCGGGGCCGCGCCAGGCCACGGCCAGCGCGCCGCAGCCCCGGCGGCCGAGGGGAGCCCCGGCGGCCUCGCGGUCGGAGCCCGGGCGCGCCGUGCGGAGCGGAGCGGGGCGGCCGGCGGCUGAGGAGCCGUCGCGGUCGGGGCUCCACUCUGCAAGUAGGAGGAGAGCGGCCUGAUAAGCGCACUCGCGUCCUGACUCUGAGUGCCCUGGUCAAGAGAAGAGAUGGGUCAGUGAGCUUUGGGACUAGGAAUGUCAGUUCCGUCCUUUGUUUCCUCUUAUAUUUGCCCGUUUCUGUUGCCGUGAAAGGUGCCUCCACAGCUGCAUUUCCUACAACAGUGGGUUGUCUAAGAGCAGUUCCUGGGAAAUGUCUUUUAAUGACUGUCUUUUCUUUGGGGCAGAGACUAUCCUCUGCCUGCCCAGGGUUUCCUGGAGGAGAAAGGGAGAAGGCAGGCUGGGACCGCUUCGAUAGGAGACGAGAAUUAGCUGUCCGUGCCCUCAUGGCCCUUCCGGUGGGCAGGUCCGCUCCCAAAGCACGGCCACCCCUCGGGCUGGGCAGGACCUGCUGAGCUGGGUGUGGAGACCCUGCCGGACGGGGAGGCAGGGGACGCGCGGGGGCUUUGAGAGGAGUGCCUCUGUCUGUGAGUCAUGCCCUGUUCCAUGGCCAAGGCUUCCGAGACCGAGCAGACUCAGCUACGUCUCCAACAAAAUUGGAAGCUCUGGCUGGAAGGGAAAAAAGGAGGCCUUUCUGCAGGGGGCAGUGG